CACACACGCACACACAAAGGGUGUGGUGACUAUUGCUUACAUGUUUCCACAGACAUUAAAAGAGGCCUUGGUGAGUUCAUGGAAGGAAUGAUGAUGCAAUUCUCAAUACAAAACAAUAGCAUUGACUUUCACGUCAGGGUUGGGUCCGACUCAGCACGUUUCUCCGGAUGCUUCAAGCGUACGUUUGCUAUAAGUCACAACAGGUUUCUUCAUGGACUGACCACACAGAGCCUCUUUUGGAAAACAGAAUGAAGUUAUCCAGGACACGCCACUUGAUCUGAUCGGCGAGCUCACCUAUGCAUAUUUCAUCAUCCGUCUCGGCGUCCCCGAUGCACUGGAAUUUAAAGUCGUUGAGAGAGUCGGCGAAUUUCCUCUUGGCCGUAGACAAACCUGACGUGAAAGAGAAGAGAUAAGUGAGAUCAUGCGGACAAGCUCUGUAGAAAAAUAGGUUAAGUCUCGCUAAUAACGGUGAUGAAUACCUCCUUGGAGGAAGCUGGAAUAAAAUCCUAGAAGGGGAUAUGGGUGAUAUUUAACGGCCUUCAUCAGUCAAAGUCAAAACAAAGGGGCAGAUCACCCUGGGAGUCAUCCAUCAGUAACACUCAUGGUAAGUGCAAAAAAUUCCAUUCAAGGGAUUUUGGGCAACACAUUUUGACUUGAGUUUCCCCUCCAUGAAAGUCAGGACGAGGUCACCUUCCUGCCUGACAGGAAUCAACAUAAAUGAUAAAAAUCCGUGCGAGCCAGGAUGCUUUUUUGUGUCACAAUGACAUUUGAUCGCAGCUAUAAAAACAAACGUACCUUUUUUUAAAAAAACAACUUUUGAUGUGAUAUUGAAACCGUAUAACACAGCUUGCUUGAAAGCAAAUGUGGGCAAGUCAUCCAUGUGUUACUAACUAAGUGAUUCAUCGAGCCGGUGGAUGCGCAGCUGACAAUGACAGUGUUAGGUUACCAAACGACAGCAAAAAAAACAAAACUCACUUGUUAAUAAUUCAUGGAAAAUGACUUUCAGGAAAGCUACAUUUAUCACCAGCUGCUGUUAUCGCCAAAAAUCCACAUAUUUUUUUAUAGCAUGCCAAACGGCUUUUUGCUAUACUGCACAAUAUAAAAUCGAGACGGCCAUAACGUUCUAAACUAAUGAGAAUAUGGAGUACAGCAUAUUUCAGGUAAAAACGUUUUGGGUGGCCUCCUCUGAUGUAAUGCACGUCCAAACACACAAUACAUCUUCUUUCUCCACUCCCCCAGCUUACUGCCGGCUUUCUUAUUUUUGGCCCGUAUCUCAAACUGCUUCAUCUUCUGCUUCCUGUCAGUGACAGCUCCUCUCAGCUCCAUGAGAGCAGAGCGUGCCUCCACUCCCCCCACCCCUUCUUCUUCUUCUUCAGCCACGCAGUAGCCAUUUAAAAAAUAUUCUCAGAUAACACUUCAAGCGAUGCUAAAUAAGCUUGCCAAAAUAACACAACUCAUGAUAUUAUUGAAUCCAAACCCAUUUCACAGUGCCAAUAAAAACAUAGCCUUAUUUUUUGUAUAAAUAAGUCCAUUCUGAAACUUUCUGCUUCUGUGUCACUGUGUGAUUGUACGAUAUUCCAGAAUAUCUCAAGGCUCAGCUGUGAUUUACGACUUUGUUGUGCUCUGCGGCCCAGAUUGCAUCACUCGACGACGCUGGAAAAAUAGCGUGCACUUGUUGUUUUAGCUGAUGCCGCCGUAUCAAUUACUGGUGCAUGGAAAUGUAAAUAAAGCUCAUCUGUCAUAGCCCUCAUGAUAAAGGGCCAAAGAUUUCCAAAUUGAAAAACAGAAUGUUGGCUGUGAGUCUGCUUAACACAAUCUAAACAAAUUAUAGUAUCGUUCAAGAUUGCAUAACUACAGAUUUUUUAUCUUAGUGCACAGACAGUCAGUAGUCGCCUAAUGUCAAGUCUGACGCCACUCUAAAGUCGAGUCUGACAUCGUAUUAAUAAAUAGCGUAACACUGAGACACAACAGCGACAACAAAAGAGCAAGGCUCUCUGGGUUUUAUUUCUCAAUUCAUUUUAUGGCUGAUGGCGACAAGAAAAGGUCACCACCAGACUUCCAUGAUGUUCCACUCAUGUCAGAUUGUAACGACAAAUAUUCACAACUGCAAGCACGGGAGUCCAUUUGUCCAAAAAAAAAAAAGACAUGUGAAGGACAUUUGAGUGGCUGGAAUGAGCCCACACAGAGAGCUCUAUACACGGCACAAAAGGAACUGUGAUGUCAAGCUGUGGCUGGAACUCUGCUGCAUCUUUGUCCCACAAGAAUGGGAAUGAAUGGAUACAGACCCACACUCAUACACCCGGCAACUAAGAAGAACACAAAACGGGGAAGGUUGCAGUUGAGUAGGCAAAAAGUUUCCCUUUUGAACUCUUAAUUCGGAGCUAAGUGUGCGUGACCGGACCCGCAUUUGACUUUAGAAGGGUUGAAAUGUACGUCAUGGAGCCUUGUAUAGUUCCUGUGAAACAAGUGAAAAUGCCCAUUGCGUCCAUCAUUUGAUGGCUUCUUCCUCCCAACCUUUCAACAAGAUUCAUGACAAUCUGCUCGCAAACAGGAAACAACGGACGGAAAGCAUCGGCGGAUGACGUGAUGGUUUCAAGCCACAGCAUGUGUCCAGCUGACCUUUGAAUAACAGGUUCAAACUCAUUUGGGUGGGUCUGAACUUGCCGUUUUCUUUUCUUAUUUUUGAUCAGACAUUAAAAGCAGGACUGAACUAUUCAGCAAAAAUAAUCUAAUUGUGAUUCUACUCU
Molecule: long non-coding RNA, 2747 nt
Organism: Syngnathus typhle (broad-nosed pipefish)
Lineage: Eukaryota; Metazoa; Chordata; Actinopteri; Syngnathiformes; Syngnathidae
Exons: 3
Source: RefSeq, a predicted model, not a curated record